GGGGAAUAUUGCACAAUGGGGGAAACCCUGAUGCAGCGACGCCGCGUGGAGGAAGAAGGUCUUCGGAUUGUAAACUCCUGUUGUUGGGGAAGAUAAUGACGGUACCCAACAAGGAAGUGACGGCUAACUACGUGCCAGCAGCCGCGGUAAAACGUAGGUCACAAGCGUUGUCCGGAAUUACUGGGUGUAAAGGGAGCGCAGGCGGGAAGACAAGUUGGAAGUGAAAUCUAUGGGCUCAACCCAUAAACUGCUUUCAAAACUGUUUUUCUUGAGUAGUGCAGAGGUAGGCGGAAUUCCCGGUGUAGCGGUGGAAUGCGUAGAUAUCGGGAGGAACACCAGUGGCGAAGGCGGCCUACUGGGCACCAACUGACGCUGAGGCUCGAAAGUGUGGGUAGCAAACAGGAUUAGAUACCCUGGUAGUCCACACCGUAAACGAUGAUUACUAGGUGUUGGAGGAUUGACCCCUUCAGUGCCGCAGUUAACACAAUAAGUAAUCCACCUGGGGAGUACGACCGCAAGGUUGAAACUCAAAGGAAUUGACGGGGGCCCGCACAAGCAGUGGAGUAUGUGGUUUAAUUCGACGCAACGCGAAGAACCUUACCAAGUCUUGACAUCCCUUGACGAACAUAGAAAUAUGUUUUCUCUUCGGAGCAAGGAGACAGGUGGUGCAUGGUUGUCGUCAGCUCGUGUCGUGAGAUGUUGGGUUAAGUCCCGCAACGAGCGCAACCCUUAUGGUCAGUUACUACGCAAGAGGACUCUGGCCAGACUGCCGUUGACAAAACGGAGGAAGGUGGGGAUGACGUCAAAUCAUCAUGCCCUUUAUGACUUGGGCUACACACGUACUACAAUGGCGUUAAACAAAGAGAAGCAAGACCGCGAGGUGGAGCAAAACUCAGAAACAACGUCCCAGUUCGGACUGCAGGCUGCAACUCGCCUGCACGAAGUCGGAAUUGCUAGUAAUCGUGGAUCAGCAUGCCACGGUGAAUACGUUCCCG
This 995-nucleotide ribosomal RNA is filed under the name uncultured bacterium. RNAcentral's name for it is "bacterial SSU rRNA". It matches the Rfam family "Bacterial small subunit ribosomal RNA", at positions 356 to 1376 of the family's 1533-position model. The record is from RNAcentral.